CACAUACAACACCUAAAACACACACUAGUUCACGCCAUUUUCAUUUUAGUUUGAGCUCAAGCUUCUGACCUCCGAUUUGAGCACCGAGACGAGCGCCGAUCAUCUUUUCGAUCACGUAUCUAAGUAGGUCCUUUUGGGAAGUAACGACUUGAGGGAGAGAGUGACGUUACUCAUUGAUACAGAGACACAACGAGGUUGAGCUGAUGUGAUGAUGGUGCUGCAAUGAGCGGAGUCUCCAGGGUUGUUAAUAAAUAGUUAACCUGUCUAGAAUAUGUCUUCAUACAUAUGUCUAGCUACUUUCCGCUGCAAGAUGUUGUUGAUGUUAUGUCAUACUUUGAGUCUUAAGAGAAUGGUUGCAUAUGAUGUAUAACUUGAUUAAUGAUAUUAAUUAACUUUUAUGCAGUCUUUCAUAGACUGUUUUCAAUUGAGUAUUAAUGAAUAAAAAUGACGAGUUUUAUUAA
Long non-coding RNA from Salvia miltiorrhiza (redroot sage), 461 nucleotides. RefSeq lists it as uncharacterized. The transcript has 2 exons. The record is from RefSeq and is a predicted model, not a curated record. Lineage: Eukaryota; Viridiplantae; Streptophyta; Magnoliopsida; Lamiales; Lamiaceae.